Dermacentor andersoni is the source of this 479-nucleotide long non-coding RNA. RefSeq lists it as uncharacterized. The record is from RefSeq and is a predicted model, not a curated record. Lineage: Eukaryota; Metazoa; Arthropoda; Arachnida; Ixodida; Ixodidae.
CUGGUUGCAAAAGCGGCCGUCUUGGAAACAACUUCCUCGAGUAAGGAAGUCAAGGGGAUUGCCCUUGCUACGCAAGGCAAUAUGAAGCGCCUGUUUGGAAUGGACCUGCGGGUGAUGGCUGCUAUUUUAAUAGGUUUGAUCGUCAUCGUUCCAAACGAAGUCGUCGCUGUCGGCCUCGGUGGAGGGGUCGGAGGAGUCGGAGGCAUAGGUUUGGCAGUCAUCGUUCCAAAUGAAGCUGUUGCUGGCGGUCUCGGUGGAGGGGUCGGAGGAGCCGGUGGCCUAGGUGGCGUUCGCUAGAAGUAGACUAUUGAGGAUUCUGAUUCUUACCAUGCCAAUGUUAUCAUGCUCAGUUAGACGAGCUCGCCCGUAUUAAAGAGGGGAGGACGAAAACAUUGUUCCUAGUUUUAAAUGUACAGCUGAGCAGAUAUAUCUUAAGCACAACGCACAUUGCUCUCUUGAACAUCACGACAUGCUCAUCC